Molecule: ribosomal RNA, 208 nt
Filed under: uncultured bacterium
Lineage: Bacteria
Description: partial 16S ribosomal RNA
Rfam family: Bacterial small subunit ribosomal RNA
Source: RNAcentral
CGCGUAGGCGGAUAUUUAAAUCAGGGGUGAAAGCCCCGGGCUCAACCUCGGAAUUGCCUUUGAUACUGGAUAUCUUGAGUUCGGGAGAGGUGAGUGGAAUGCCGAGUGUAGAGGUGAAAUUCGUAGAUAUUCGGCGGAACACCAGUGGCGAAGGCGACCUACUGGGCACCAACUGACGCUGAGGCUCGAAAGCAUGGGUAAGCAAACA